Molecule: long non-coding RNA, 1090 nt
Filed under: Mastacembelus armatus (zig-zag eel)
Lineage: Eukaryota; Metazoa; Chordata; Actinopteri; Synbranchiformes; Mastacembelidae
Description: lncRNA (ENSMAMG00000028508.1)
Source: RNAcentral
AUGUCUGAUAAGCCGAGGGUGUACCAGGGCGUCCGAGUGAGGACCACGGUCAAAGAGCUGCUGCAGAGGCACAGAGCCCGGGAGGCCAACAGCAAAAAAGUUAAAACGACUUGCGCGGAUCUUCAAGAUUUUUGUGGAUCCACAUUUUCAAGUCGCUACGUGGACCCUCCUCCCUCCAUUCCUCAAGAGGACGCGAGCAGCUGUGGCACGCGAGCGUUCCAGCUACGCACCGCCUCGUUCCCGGUACCUGACAGUUCGUGCACCAUUCAGAUGCAGGGGAGCGCGUUAAACGACAUCCAUCAACAGGCUGGUUACAUGAUGUUGCCCAGCAACGGUUACAGUGGUAACAACAGCAACAAUAACAUCGGCGGCGGCAGCAGCCUCAACGCCUCCCUGCCUCCGCCUCCCACCUUCCCGCUGUCCUGGUGCCACGGACUCUCCUCAGAUGCGGACUAUUAUGGGCAUGAGAUGGCUCCCUGCUCCCCAGCAGAGACGCUGAAGCUCUGCAGCCCCAUGGAUCACAACAGCUAUUCGCCGCAGGACUCGUUCUCCUCCUCUUCUUCCUCCUGUUAUGACUCGCCCACCAGGAUGGAGACCAGUUACCGCAGCUUUGCCUCAGAGCACUACCACUAUCAGCACUGCAACCUCCAGGACUGUUUCUGCAUGUCUCACUGUUGGCCGGGCCAGCAGGAGAGCUUCUCUGCCCCCGAAUAUGCACCUUACUACAACCCCACAGACUAUCCAUAUGCCUGUCCUAUGGAAGAGACCUAUUUUAAGAGAGAUUUGCAGAUGAGCUCUGAAAUGUGUUAUAAUGUACUAUGAUGAGACCUUCAAUAGUGUUGUUUUGACUUCUCGCUGUAAAUAUGAUUCGUUUCAAGUAUUAAGUACGACUAUUUGCUUGAUGCCCCCUCCCUUGCAUUUCAGUGUGCUUUGGCCUUUUUUUUUUUUUUUUUGAAUGAAUAUGAUGAAUGCUGAAUGUAUGGAAAGGCUGAUAUUUUUGCAUUAAUUACCUUUUUUUAGUACCAAAGUUUAUUUUCAUAUACAUAACUUGUUGCUAUUCUAAAUAAAAAUGUGUCAAACUCACUAACAU